RNAcentral lists this unclassified non-coding RNA (467 nucleotides) under Hevea brasiliensis (rubber tree). Lineage: Eukaryota; Viridiplantae; Streptophyta; Magnoliopsida; Malpighiales; Euphorbiaceae. The record is from RNAcentral.
GCCUUUACACAGCACUUGUUCGCUAGGGUUUCGGUGCAGAUUUUUGAUUUUCGCUUCAUCUGAAUCGUUUUCUGCAAACUUGCGAAGCUAUGUACGGAUCAAGGGGGGCAAUGUUGGGGAGCGGGGGGGUUUCGGACGGGUACGAGAAUGGCUCAAAGAGACCAAGAAUGAUGGAAUCAAAUCCCUGCUUCGCAGUGAGCAGCGGUUCAAGCGGUUAUCACCAGCCUUAUGGCUAUGGCAGCGGCAGAUUUCAGCCCUCUGGAUUUCCUGUUGUUCGUUUGAGGGGUCUUCCGUUCAACUGCACUGAAAUUGACAUUCACAAGUUCUUUGCUGGCCUGGAUAUUGUGGAUGUUUUCCUGGUCAACAAGGAUGGACGGUUCGUUGGGGAGGCUUUUGUUGUCUUUGCUGGUCAUAUGCAAGUUGAUUAUGCUCUUCAAAGGGACAGACAGAACAUGGGGAGGAGAUAU